Molecule: long non-coding RNA, 564 nt
Organism: Ipomoea nil (Japanese morning glory)
Lineage: Eukaryota; Viridiplantae; Streptophyta; Magnoliopsida; Solanales; Convolvulaceae
Exons: 2
Source: RefSeq, a predicted model, not a curated record
UUCAUGCAUGAGCAAAACAAAUAGUAUGACAGAAUUUAUUCCCCUUCAAAUGCAUGCAUGGGAUAUGGAGUUUCCUUGAAAGGAGAACUCUUAGAAGCUCCGCUAGUUGCACUAAAAGGUCAGGAAGACAUGCCUCAAAGGACACAAGGCAAUUACCUUAGAAGAAUUCUUGAGUUGAACUACGCCCGAGGGGGAUCAAUUAACAAACAAACUUUGGGACCCUGUAAACUAGUUGAGGCACAUCCCGCGAUUAACUUAACAAACAAACCAAUUAAAUGGAGUGCAAAUGACCGAUCUCAUUCUUGGUACUAAAGAGUGUAAAUGUGUAAUUAUUAGAAGAAAAAAAAAGGUGAUGAAGUGAAGAUGUUUAGUUCUAAGAAACUAAAAAUGGAGUGAAUUAUAAUCAAUCAUCUGCAAUUGCAAGAAGAUAGAAAUUAUAAACAAUCAUCUGCAAUUUGUCACAAGAAAAUGGAAAUCAAAAGCAUAUUAAACUAUAGGAAUGAUACAGUUAUUGAAUUUGCUAAUUAUGAAUAGACUAAUCAAGUUUCCAACAAUUGAAAGAGA